RNAcentral lists this unclassified non-coding RNA (529 nucleotides) under Melitaea cinxia (Glanville fritillary). RNAcentral describes it as "misc RNA ENSMCXG00005010967.1". Lineage: Eukaryota; Metazoa; Arthropoda; Insecta; Lepidoptera; Nymphalidae. The record is from RNAcentral.
ACAAGAGAGAGAGUAAAAAAAAAUCCUACAGAAUCUUAAUUUUUUUUUUCAAAACACACAAAAUCACCUUACACUAAAGCAAAGCUUAAACCUAUAAGAACUACAAUGACUCACCCACAAUAAAUUGCACUCAGAUCUUAAGACGGCGAGAGAAUCCAACCCAAAAAAAGAAAAGAGCAAAAAGGGCCCGCAACACACGUCCUGAGCCUUAUAUACAGCAAACCCAGUGUGUCGCGACACAACUACCCCCUAAGGUGCACCGCAACGUAAUACGAUACGAGGGUAUUCCAAAAAAUUAAAUCAGUCGCCUAGAAAAAGUAAAUAGCAACGCUAGUGCAUAACUGUGCUAUUAUACAUCAGCAGGAACGAAACUACGUGCUAAUAAAAAUAUAUGCUACACACCUUUCGAUUAAAAGAAAAUUUGUCGAAAUCGGUCCACCCAGUUAAAAGUUCUGAUGUAACAUACAUAAAAAAAAAACACAGUCGAAUUGAGAACCUCCUCCUUUUUUGGAAGUCGGUUAAAAAAAAA